Molecule: long non-coding RNA, 5361 nt
Organism: Salvelinus fontinalis (brook trout)
Lineage: Eukaryota; Metazoa; Chordata; Actinopteri; Salmoniformes; Salmonidae
Exons: 5
Source: RefSeq, a predicted model, not a curated record
AGUGCCCAGGAUGAGCCUUAUCCCAUUGAGAGACCUUCUCGGAUAGUCUCUUUACCUCUACAGUCUGAAGUGCCGGUCACAUCACCUGCAUUGGGACCAACUGGACCGUGUCAUAAAGACAAACAGGUGCAAUAUCUAAUGCCAAAUACAAGAAGCGUUGGUGAGUCAUCAUUUUAUAUUUCUGCCCUAGUUACUUUGGAUUUGAUAUUAUGGUUGCUUUAUCUUUUCAUAUGUCACAUUUAUACUGCUCACCUCACCUCAUGACCAGGCAGUUACAGUGAAAAAGCUGUCAAUACCAAUAAUAUAUUAUCAAAAACACUGAGCAGAUUUAAUUUGUGCACAUACUGAAAUAUGUCUAGGAUGGCAAGCGAUCAACAGUAUGGCACAGUCCCAGUUUGUACAAUGCACAUUAAUUGGAGAAGAUGAAGAGAUUAACCUGGGUUAGGAGGAGGAGAACGAGGACAUCUAUGGCGAUGGAGAGGACAUGGAGGAUGAGGACUACAUCCCAGCUGAGGAUGCAGAAGAUGACAUUGUUUGCCCUACAGCAUCUGUAAAAAUGUCUGACAUUAUAAUAAUGUCUGACAUAUAGUAGAUUUAUUCACUAUCAGCUAGCCUGAGGCUUCAGCCAGUCCGGAUGAGAAAAUACAUUUAUUGUGUUCCAGUCCCAACUAAUGAAGCUUUUCCAAGUCUGUGUUGGGUGUGGUGCGGUGAGUUCAGGGACUACGUCAGCAGCGAGAGGGACAGCGCUCUACAUCAUGCAGAUCUGUAAGUCGUGCAACCAUGUGAGAGAAUAGCCCAGCCAGCCUAUCUAGAGGGUGCCAGCAGGAAAUCUAGUCCUUUCUGCUGCCAUAUUGGUGUCAGGUUGUAUGCCGACCAAAGUCCUCCGAAUGCUCGGCAUUAUCGGAGUGGCAACUAUUCACUGCAGCACAUUCUUCCGUCACCAGCAUAACCACCUAGAGCCAGCAGUCCUCAACACAUCAAAUCAAAUCAAAUGUUAUUUGUCACAUACACAUGGUUAGUAGAUGUUAAUGCGAGUGUAGCGAACUGCUUGUGCUUCUAGUUCCGACAAUGCAGUAAUAACCAACGAGUAAUCUAACCUAACAAUUCCACAACUACUACCUUAUACACACAAGUGUAAAGGGAUAAAGAAUAUGUACAUAAAGAUAUAUGAAUGAGUGAUGGUACAGAACGGCAUAGGCAAGAUGCAGUAGAUGGUAUAGAGUCAGUAUAUGCAUAUGAGAUGAGUAAUGUAGGGUAUAUAAACAUUAUAUUAAGUGGCAUUGUUUAAAGUGGCUAGUGAUACAUGUAUUACAUAAAGAUGGCAAGAUGCAGUAGAUGAUAUAGAGUACAGUAUAUACAUAUGAGAUGAGUAAUGUAGGGUAUGUAAACAUUAUAUUAAGUGGCAUUGUUUGAAGUGGCUAGUGGUACAUUUUUACAUAUAUUUCCAUCAAUUCCCAUUAUUAAAGUGGCUGGAGUUGAGUCAGUAUGUUGGCAGCGGCCACUAAAUGUUAGUGGUGGCUGUUUAACAGUCUGAUGGCCUUGAGAUAGAAGCUGUUUUACAGUCUCUCUGUCCCUGCUUUGAUGCACCUGUAAUGACCUCGCCUUCUGGAUGAUAGCGGGGUAAACAGGCAGUGGCUCGGGUGGUUGUUGUCCUUGAUGAUCUUUAUGGCCUUCCUGAGACAUCGGGUGGUGUAGGUGUCCUGGGAUGGGACAUGGGAUGUCGAGCAGAGUGGCACCAUCAAAACCCUCAAGGAAAUGGGUGGAGAUCUGGUCUUAGCAGCAGAUGGAAGGAGUGAUGCUGCACUUCCUGCCGAAGCACACCGCCUUUCUCCUACAAGGGAAUGCAUGCAAGAUCAUACCUUGCAGCCUUGCAUUAGAAUGACAACAGUGGAUGGAUGCAGGCAGUGAGAAAAGACUAGCUGCUCAGGUACUCCCUCUCCUUCCCAAAGACCAAGAAGGGUGGAUACACAAUUUGGCCAAACCCACCUAUGGAACCUGAAUACCACCACAGUUCAACAUCCGCCUUCUAAUGUCAAGCUGCCAUCAACACACAUCCAGCCCUAAGCUGAUUCCUGUCCGUCUGCUAGGGUAGAGCAGUAACUGUCACUAGGGUUUUGUUACACAAAGUUGUUCCCUUGUAUUCUCUGCCCUUGUUUACUUCCCAUUACAGAGUUAAGAUAAUUUGAUAAGUUUAAGCAGCAGUUUGAGCCUGUAACAGCAUAACUCCACACCUAUACACCCGCCCGAGGUCUAUGUUCAUCAGACCUAGCUCCUUGACGAUCCUCACACAAAGCGUGGCACGUCUCUGCUGCUGCCGCCAAGCUUUCAGAGUGGAAUUCAAUCAUCCAUAAAUAAAUGUAUUGUAUUUCACAAUGGAAUUGUUAUUAUACAUUAACUAUCAUUAUUAUGGGGACUGUGAUCACAAAGUGAAAUGUGAAAAGUGAAAAGCACUUUUUAUAACUGUUAAUGAAAAGGUAAAAACGUGUUUGAAUUCUUUGGAUGUUAACUUGAAGACAGUGUAGUACAUGUUCUCCUCAUUUGGGAACCUAUUUCUUAUCCCAUUUACUGCACACACUGGAAUUGGCAAGUUUCCUUUGCCAUGGUAUGCUAGCUGAUAAGGCUAGUUAGCUGGCUAAAAUAGCUUUUCACAUCAGAAGUGCCUCUCUCCCUGGCUCUCGCUUUCUUUGGUAGCUAAUUCAACCUAUAGUCCGAACCAUGAUUGACCCCAUCCGUCAAUAUUUGUGUCCACUCUCUUUGCUUUUUUUUUUAUCUGCUGGCGGGUUUUGUUUUAGUUGUUCUGUGUGUUACUGCCUGUGCUCGCUGGUCUUGAUUGUUGUAGCGUUAGCUGGCUGGCUACCUAGCUGGCUACCGAGCUGGCUGAAAUAGCCAACGUUAACUGGCUGGCUAGUUUGCUGGCUAAGGUAACAUUAACUGCAUAUAACAUAGAAGCUGUUUUACAGUCUCUCUGUCCCUGCUUUGAUGCACCUGUAAUGACCUCGCCUUCUGGAUGAUAGCGGGGUAAACAGGCAGUGGCUCGGGUGGUUGUUGUCCUUGAUGAUCUUUAUGGCCUUCCUGAGACAUCGGGUGGUGUAGGUGUCCUGGGAUGGGACAUGGGAUGUCGAGCAGAGAGGCACCAUCAAAACCCUCAAGGAAAUGGGUGGAGAUCUGGUCUUAGCAGCAGAUGGAAGGAGUGAUGCUGCACUUCCUGCCGAAGCACACCGCCUUUCUCCUACAAGGGAAUGCAUGCAAGAUCAUACCUUGCAGCCUUGCAUUAGAAUGACAACAGUGGAUGGAUGCAGGCAGUGAGAAAAGACUAGCUGCUCAGGUACUCCCUCUCCUUCCCAAAGACCAAGAAGGGUGGAUACACAAUUUGGCCAAACCCACCUAUGGAACCUGAAUACCACCACAGUUCAACAUCCGCCUUCUAAUGUCAAGCUGCCAUCAACACACAUCCAGCCCUAAGCUGAUUCCUGUCCGUCUGCUAGGGUAGAGCAGUAACUGUCACUAGGGUUUUGUUACACAAAGUUGUUCCCUUGUAUUCUCUGCCCUUGUUUACUUCCCAUUACAGAGUUAAGAUAAUUUGAUAAGUUUAAGCAGCAGUUUGAGCCUGUAACAGCAUAACUCCACACCUAUACACCCGCCCGAGGUCUAUGUUCAUCAGACCUGGCUCCUUGACGAUCCUCACACAAAGCGUGGCACGUCUCUGCUGCUGCCGCCAAGCUUUCAGAGUGGAAUUCAAUCAUCCAUAAAUAAAUGUAUUGUAUUUCACAAUGGAAUUGUUAUUAUACAUUAACUAUCAUUAUUAUGGGGACUGUGAUCACAAAGUGAAAUGUGAAAAGUGAAAAGCACUUUUUAUAACUGUUAAUGAAAAGGUAAAAACGUGUUUGAAUUCUUUGGAUGUUAACUUGAAGACAGUGUAGUACAUGUUCUCCUCAUUUGGGAACCUAUUUCUUAUCCCAUUUACUGCACACACUGGAAUUGGCAAGUUUCCUUUGCCAUGGUAUGCUAGCUGAUAAGGCUAGUUAGCUGGCUAAAAUAGCUUUUCACAUCAGAAGUGCCUCUCUCCCUGGCUCUCGCUUUCUUUGGUAGCUAAUUCAACCUAUAGUCCGAACCAUGAUUGACCCCAUCCGUCAAUAUUUGUGUCCACUCUCUUUGCUUUUUUUUUUAUCUGCUGGCGGGUUUUGUUUUAGUUGUUCUGUGUGUUACUGCCUGUGCUCGCUGGUCUUGAUUGUUGUAGCGUUAGCUGGCUGGCUACCUAGCUGGCUACCGAGCUGGCUGAAAUAGCCAACGUUAACUGGCUGGCUAGUUUGCUGGCUAAGGUAACAUUAACUGCAUAUAACAUUCUUUGAUAGCUGGUUAGAUGUUGUUAUGUAUUUCAAAAAAAGUUGGUUAUAUUUAAUGUAGUUGUUGAUAGCAAUUGGCUGACUCAUGAAGUGCUCAUGUAAAGUUAGCAGGCUGGUAGGGCUAAUGUUAGCAGGCUAGUUUGCUAGCAACCUUGCAAGCUGAUUUGUAACAAUAUAUUCAUAAAGUAUUUGCUCGCAAGUUGGCUGAAAAUGUAAUUGAAACCAGUAGUAAUUGAAACCAGGGGUGAGUGCUCACCCCCCAACAACGACAAAAAAAUCUGACAUGACUUCGAUCGGUUUUAUGUAAUAACUUGAAAAAUAGAAUAGUGGUGUGUAACUUUGCAUUGGGACUUUUAACGCGUACACUAAUGCAAAUCCAUAUGUUGCAUGUGAUUCUGUUUAUACUACAUACGCUUUAAGCACUGUGAAAUACUUUAUAACAUUAUUACAAUGUAUUUUUCUAUUGCGCGACGCUGUGACAAUUUUUGUGCAACCAAAUCAUGGGCUGGUGCAACCAACUGAAAAUGUUGGGAAAAGUUCAUCUGGAGCCCACCUAUACUGUUUUUUAUAUACUGUACUGUAAAUGAGCAUAGGUUAAUGGUAGGCCAAUCACAACAUUUCAGUUCAAUAAUCCUAUGGUAAAUUAGGCCUAUGGGAGUUUUUUUAAAUGCUCUGGAGUUGAGAAUAUUGCUAUAUCCUGUCACGCCCUGACCGUAGAGAUCUUUUUAGGAUACAUUUUAUGUCUCUAUUUUGGUGUGCAUUCUAUGUUCAUUUUUUAUGUUUUGUAUUUCUUUGUGUUUGACCGGGUGUGGUUCUCAAUCAGAGUCAUCUGUCUAUCGUUGUCUCUGAUUGAGAAUCAUACUUAGGCAGCUUUUUCCCACCUGUGUUUUGUGGGUAGUUAUUUUCUGUUUUGUGUUUCUGCACCUGACAGAACUGUUCGUUGUCGUUUUGCUCUUUGUUAUUUUGUUCAAGUGUUUUUUGAGAAUAAAUCAUGAACACUUACCACGCUGCGCUUUGG